CAAAAUAGUACAGAUGCUGUUAAAAGCCUGAAUUAACCCACUAAAAAUGAAAUCUGUGAUACGGAAGACAGGACCAUGAAGCACUCUACAGAAAGAGGAAAAUGACAAAGAGAUUAAACUGACUAUGGGCAGAAAACUGACAAAGGAAACCUAACCAGUGCACAAGACGACAAAUGGAAGAAAAUAAAUUAUCAAAGGUGCCCUAACAACACUGAAACAAACCCAACAAUUAUUUGCAGUGGCCAAGGAAAUAAACAUACAACCUUGAGGCUUUGAACUUCAACUUCCACACCAAUACAAGCUACAAAUCAUGAGUGAGGACCAAAUGAUGUUGUCAGUUACGUGGGAACCAGGGGUCAUUCUUCCGUGAAUUCAGAGUCAGCACUGAAGGAAGAUGGCUUGACAACCAAGACCAACGGAAAGCCACAUGGCAGUGAGACAGCCUCUCUGGAAAGCCAGCAUCUGCCGUGGAGCAGUUGGUUCCACAUAAACAGGAAAUUUGAAGCCCCAAAUAUUUUGAUUCAGCCUUGUUUAAAAUUAUUGGUGAGACUGUAUGUUAAGAGGCUAAACAGUAUGAAGCUAGAUGCAUGUGGGCAGAAAAUAAUUGUUGAUACAACCUUUUGUUUGAAAAACGGAGAAGUUGAAAAUUUUACCUAGAGAAAUGAAAGAUUGAGCCAGGAAGGUGGAGUCUACUUAACUUAGACUUAGUUUGUCACCAGGAAAAUUGAGUUUUAUCUAGUCACUUUACCAAAAACGUUCCCAGUGAAUAGCAAAUAAUCAUCUCCAAGGAACUCUGAUCUGUGACCUGUGACCUAUGAUCUAGGCCUAUUUAGGUUUAUGUUAGAAACUGGA
Molecule: long non-coding RNA, 852 nt
Filed under: Cricetulus griseus (Chinese hamster)
Lineage: Eukaryota; Metazoa; Chordata; Mammalia; Rodentia; Cricetidae
Description: lncRNA (ENSCGRG00015038206.1)
Source: RNAcentral